Molecule: long non-coding RNA, 1209 nt
Organism: Ipomoea triloba (trilobed morning glory)
Lineage: Eukaryota; Viridiplantae; Streptophyta; Magnoliopsida; Solanales; Convolvulaceae
Exons: 2
Source: RefSeq, a predicted model, not a curated record
CGAUGCUUUUUUCUCCACAAAGACGCCGAUGUGUUCAAGAAAGUGGAAGGAAUUUCUAGGGUUGAAGAAGUUAUACCAAAACCGCAAUGUCAAGGACAUGAAAACGACAACCUCCCUCGCAUCUCUCUGGAUUCAGAGAAGGCCGUCAAUCUCUCUCGCAACCCGACCCAAAACAUCAACCCUCCCAGGGUCCGAUUGGUGAAACCAAGGGCACUGUCUUCCGAAAAUCCCGCCGGGAGAGUUUGCCGCAGCCCAGUGCAGAGAGCACCAGACGCCGCCACAAUCGGCGGAGUUUCCGCGAACAGUCCGUGGAUGAGCUCUUCAAGGAAGUUUUUCAAUUCCAUCACAGUCAGAUUUUGAGCAAUCAUUUGUAGAUGUUAAAUUGGAAGAACAUGCCCAAGAAGACUGAGAGUGAUAAAAGGGAUAUAGCGGUGAUUUUGGCGAAAGCUGGGGACUUUGUGAGUGAAAAGUGAUCGGAAGUGGUGAAGAUGGCCUUCAUGUUCACAGAAUGGAAGAGCAGGGCGCCGAAAAAGAGUGAGGUGGCGGUGAAGUUAGGACAGUGGUUUUGAUUCCUUGUCUGAAGAAGAAGGAAGAAGAUUCUUUAAAGGGAAAAAAGGAAAUCAAUACUUAUGUAUAGUGAAACUGCGGCAGAGCCAGAGAUUGUUGAUUUGUUGUGGUACGAAGUGGUUUGCCAUAUGGGAGGUUAUGAGUUCGAGCCUCAGUGGAGGCGAUACUGACUCUUUGUGCUCCAAUAGGUUGAGAAAGUAUGUUUGAACAAAUACUACAAUGUAAUAGAGUUAGUUGUAUUAAAAAAAAAGUGAUUUGUCAGAAUCCGAAGAAUGAUUGAGCUUCUUAUUAUUGACAAAAACAGAACAUAUUGUUAACGUGGAGAACCAGAAGACUAUUAUGAUUGUUUUGGUUGGGUAAUAAGGGAAAAGACUAUUAUGCCCUUACAUUUCACAGUUGAGACAAAAAAUCUUAACGAAAGGACUAUGGCAUGUCGAUUUCAAAAUUCAAAGGACCACGGAGGGUCGAUUUGAAAGUUUAGGACCAUAGAUGGCGGAACCACGAUACUCGAGGGACCUUGUGUAUUAACUCAACAACAACAACAACAACGGGCAUUUUAGACUAUAUACUACUUAUUCCCUAUCAAUUCCCAUGUAUACCAAACAUUAGAAUUGAAAUUCUCAGUAAUUUUAUCCCUGCAAA